UACAGGGGGGGCAAGCGUUGUUCGGAAUUACUGGGCGUAAAGGGCUCGUAGGCGGCCAACUAAGUCACACGUGAAAUCCCCAGGCUUAACCUGGGAACUGCGUGUGAUACUGGAUGGCUUGAAUUCGGGAGAGGGAUGCAGAAUUCCAGGUGUAGCGGUGAAAUGCGUAGAUAUCUGGAGGAAUACCGGUGGCGAAGGCGGCAUCCUGGACCGGUAUUGACGCUGAGGCGCGAAAGCUAGGGGAGCAAACGGG
RNAcentral lists this ribosomal RNA (253 nucleotides) under uncultured bacterium. RNAcentral describes it as "partial 16S ribosomal RNA". It matches the Rfam family "Bacterial small subunit ribosomal RNA", at positions 524 to 776 of the family's 1533-position model. The record is from RNAcentral.